CUGAAGUUAUCAGAGAAACAAGCUUGAGGAAACGUUAGACAGCUCAGCUCCCAGCCGUUGGAGACGACUUGUCCCGUGUCUUCCGAACCGCAUCGAUAAAUCAAUUAUUUUUUAAAGUGAAACCGCUCUAUUCAGUGUUUCUACCAAUGUUCACCUCUUGGUCUGUGUGUUAUGGAGAGGAGGAAACCUUUGUGGAUAAUUCGGCUGCCGGUAAAAACCUGCGGAACGUCUCGAUCACAAGUUAUUAAAGACAAAAGGCAGUCAGACCAGGUGAGCUGAAAACCAGACGACCCAAAUCCACAGGGCUGUCACUCGCCUCCUCCCCAUGGUAACCAGAUGUGCAGAGAGCAUGAUCACACUGCUGAUGGCCCGCUGAUCCUCUAAUCCAUUUCAACAUCUGCAUUUCUGAUAAGUUUUACUUCCAACUUCAUGCUCGUGUGUGUGUGUGUGUGUGUGUGUGUGUCUGUGUGUGUCUGUGUCUGUGUCUGUCUGUGUGUGGGGUGUAAUCUGUGUGUUCCUAAGUUACCGUUCUGCCUUGGCCGUUUGAUCUGAAAGCUUUGCUUUACUUCUGUAAUCCUGCCAGCUGCCUAUCUCCAUCUCCAUCCACCCAUCACUCCAUCCAGGGGAUUUGACUGCCAUUAAGAGAUGGCUUUUUGGUGUGUGUGUG
Long non-coding RNA from Seriola aureovittata, 667 nucleotides. RefSeq lists it as uncharacterized. The record is from RefSeq and is a predicted model, not a curated record. NCBI's taxonomy places the organism in Eukaryota, Metazoa, Chordata, Actinopteri, Carangiformes, Carangidae. The transcript is spliced from 3 exons.